RNAcentral lists this unclassified non-coding RNA (287 nucleotides) under soil metagenome. Its description in RNAcentral is "partial contains small subunit ribosomal RNA, internal transcribed spacer 1, and 5.8S ribosomal RNA". The record is from RNAcentral.
UUUCCGUAGGUGAACCUGCGGAAGGAUCAUUAACACGUAUCCCAACGUACAAACCCACCCUAGUUGACACCCGUCACGUCCGGCUGCCGCCCGACUCUACUUGCCAAACGCCCUCCUGCGUCGGUCGACGCGCUGCGGCGGGAGUCGUGGCCAGCCGAUUUUUUCAAACCCCAAACACACUCAAACCAUUGACAAACCAAACCUUGUCGACGAGCCCGCAAGGGCGCGCCGCACAAACAAACCAAAUAACCAAACAACAACUUUUAGCAAUGGAUAUCUUGGUUCUC